RNAcentral lists this ribosomal RNA (503 nucleotides) under Megophrys lancip. Its description in RNAcentral is "partial 16S ribosomal RNA". It matches the Rfam family "Bacterial large subunit ribosomal RNA", at positions 1857 to 2577 of the family's 2925-position model. Lineage: Eukaryota; Metazoa; Chordata; Amphibia; Anura; Megophryidae. The record is from RNAcentral.
GCCUGCCCAGUGACCAAGUGUUUAACGGCCGCGGUAUCCUGACCGCGCGAAGGUAGCGUAAUCACUUGUCUUUUAAAUAAAGACUAGUAUGAACGGCCUAACGAGGACUUAACUGUCUCCUCUAUCUAAUCAGUGAAACUGAUCUCCUCGUGAAGAAGCGAGGAUUCCCCCAUAAGACGAGAAGACCCUAUGGAGCUUCAAACCUAAAUCAACUACUCACUUAACUCUCUAAAGAAUUAACAUUGAAUCUUGUCAGAUUGAAUCAGGUUUUCGGUUGGGGCGACCACGGAGAAAAAAAAAUCCUCCCUGUAUCUAUAAACUAAGAGCCACAGCUCUAAGUAUUCAGCCUCCCACUCUAAUUGACCCACUUUGUGAUCAACGAACCAAGUUACCCUAGGGAUAACAGCGCUAUCCAUUUUAAGAGUUCCUAUCGACAAAUGGGUUUACGACCUCGAUGUUGGAUCAGGGCAUCCUAGUGGUGCAACCGCUACUAAAGGUUCGUU